GACGAACGCUGGCGGCGUGCUUAACACAUGCAAGUCGAACGGAAGUGCCCGGCUUUUGUUGGGUGCUCGAGUGGCGAACGGGUGCGUAACACCUGAGUAACCUGCCCUUGACUUUGGGAUGACUUCAUGAAACUGGGUGUAAUACCGGAUAGUAUCUCCUGCUUCAUGGUGUGGGUGGUAAAGUUUCGGCGUUUGGGGAUGGACUCGCGUGUUAGCAGCUUGUUGGUGGGGGAGUGGCUUACCAAAGCUGUGACGGGUGGCCGGCGUGGGCGGGUGACCGGCCACAUGGGGAAUGGGAUACGGCCCAGAGGGAUACGGGAGGCAGGAGUGGGGACUAUUGCACAAUGGGCGGAAGGCUGAUGGAGGAACGCGGCAUGAGGGAUGACGGCUCUCGGGUCGUAAAACGAUUGACGAAGGGAGGAAGAGUGAGUGAAGGUAAUGGGUAAAGAAGCACCGGCUAACUACGUG
Molecule: ribosomal RNA, 468 nt
Filed under: uncultured bacterium
Lineage: Bacteria
Description: partial 16S ribosomal RNA
Rfam family: Bacterial small subunit ribosomal RNA
Source: RNAcentral